Molecule: ribosomal RNA, 484 nt
Filed under: uncultured bacterium
Lineage: Bacteria
Description: partial 16S ribosomal RNA
Rfam family: Bacterial small subunit ribosomal RNA
Source: RNAcentral
GACGAACGCUGGCGGUGUGCUUAACACAUGCAAGUCGAACGAUGAAGCCGGAGCUUGCUCUGGUGAAUUAGUGGUGAACGGGUGAGUAACACGUGAGUAACCUGCCCUUGACUCUGGGAUAACUGCGGGAAACUGUAGCUAAUACCGGAUACGACCCUCGGAGGCAUCUCCUGGGGGUGGAAAGAAUUUCGGUCAAGGAUGGACUCGCGGCCUAUCAGCUAGUUGGUGAGGUAAAGGCUCACCAAGGCGACGACGGGUAGCCGGCCUGAGAGGGGGACGGGGCGCGGUGGGACUGAGGCGCGGCGGGGACUCCUCCGGGAGGCAGCAGUGGGGAAUAUUGCACAAUGGGCGCAAGCAUGAUGCAGCAGCGCCGCGUGAGGGAUGACGGCCUUCGGGUUGUAAACCUCUUUUAGCAGGGAAGAAGCGAAAGUGACGGUACCUGCAGAAAAAGCACCGGCUAACUACGUGCCAGCAGCCGCCGUAA